This is a non-coding RNA of Phoenix dactylifera (date palm), 3410 nucleotides long. Lineage: Eukaryota; Viridiplantae; Streptophyta; Magnoliopsida; Arecales; Arecaceae. The record is from RefSeq and is a predicted model, not a curated record.
ACGCAAGUUCUUCAUCGGUUAUACAGAAUGGUUUCAUUCGUAAGAAGCCUUUUAUUGUGCUAUUAUGACAAAAAUUAUGUAAGUUGGAAGCCUUGCAUUCUGAAAUUCUUGCAGCAAGUUCUUUAUAUCCCAUGGCUUUCGAGCCAAUUUGAUGCAGGUUUUCUUUUGGUUCUGAAAAUGUUGUUGUUAGUGAUCAAAUCCUUUCAGGCCCAAAAUUAGCUGCUCUUUUAGAGAAUUUGCAGCUAUCAACGGAUCCUUGUAUGUGCCAAUUAUUAUCUUAUGAAGUAACUCAACGCGUAGAACAUUACAAAUAACAGAUAAAAUGCGUACAGAACUCAGCAGAAAUUAGUCUAAGGAUAUGGAGUUGAACAAAGCAUUCAACAAUCUCCUUAAACCACGGAAUUACCCAAGAACUCAAAACAGGAUUUCUAAGAGAGCACACUAGAGAUAUGGACAGCCGCUCCUAUUCAGAGUCCUCGCUCUUCUUGGGCUUGCGGUACUUCUCCUCGUAGUAUUUGGUCCUCUCCAUGGCCAUAUUGGCGAUCUUCCGGACGUUGGACACGUUGUAGUUCUGGGCAAUAUAGAUCCCAAACGUGGUUCCUAUAAAAAAGGAGAAGCAUUUCCGGAUCAAAGCCAUUCCACCACCUCUUCUUCUACUCCUUUUCCUUGGUAGUUUUCUUCUUCUUCUACUUCCCUGAUUGCAAUCAAGUCCGAAACCCAGAGGAGUUUUAUAGAGGGGAUAGUAAAUGGAGAGGAAGAUGGCAAGAAAGGUGACGUUAUUGAGCAUAGUCUUCAACCUGGUCCCUCGACCAAGAAACUCCUCAACUUAUUCCUCAAGUUUGUUGAGCUGACCUGGCUCGGACUAUUUUAGCUUUUGGGAAGUGGACUACUUGGUUUUGGUGGAGAAUAGCAAGCAUCAUGCGGGCACUAGCAAUAACGAUUUCUAUGCCUCCUAUUCAAACUUGAGAUGAACGUUGAUCAAUAUUGGCCAUCCUGCUUGCAAAAAUCAGGCACUUGUUACACUUGUAUCUUAAGUCAGGCUAGGAUGCUCUUAAAGAAAGAGUAAUUCUGAUGUGUUAGGUAUGAAGCUAAAAAGAAUUCUUUUUGCUAACAAUGUACUAAGUAUUGAUGUUAUUUGGAUCUCUAUUAAUUAUUUAUUCAUUGUGCAACAAGUUAAAAAAUUAUUACUCUCAUUUAUUUUAUAAACUUUAUAUACUUUCUUCUUAGAUUGAGCCCUAUGUAUAUUGUUACAACUUGAUCCUUUUAGCAACCAAUGCACGGGUGAGAAUGGAACGCUGGAUAACUUCUCCUUCUCGAAUCCCGUCACCGCGUCGGUUCUGAUUCGAUGCCGGCGGUCUAAUUACCCCCCGCGAGCCACCGCAUCCAAGCUCUCCCGCCUCGACCUCGACCUCGACCUCUGCCCUCUCCUCCCCCUCUCCCUCUCCAUCCCCUCCGCCUCCGUUUCGUCCUCCGCCUCCCCCGCCGCCUUCGCUUCCGCUUCACCGCCGCCUUCGCUUCCGCUUCACCGCCGCCUUCGUCCCCUCCACCACCGCCGACGGCCCCGCCGACCACGAACUCCCCCUAAAAGUACCUCCUUUCUCCUUCUUCCCCUCCCUCUCCACCCAAAAUCCGGAUUUUGGUCUUGAUACCGCAGGAGUUUCUCAGAUUGAUUGGGUUAUAAUGAUAUGGGAUGUGCAGACGGCGGCGGUCAUCGAUCAGCAGCGGCAGAAUCAGGGGAGCCGGCUGAGGAAGGGGGUCGUUUUUGGAGUCUAUAUCGGAUUGGGCGCCGGAGGUGUGGUUGUGGCCCGGGGAUGGGUGUUCACUGUGGUAGUGGCGGCCGCGGUGUUUGCUGCGGCCCGGGAGUACGUUGAGUUGGUCAGGAGUCGGGGUCCCCCAAAAUGUGUCGAAGGUUUGCUCGGUUAUCAAUGCCCUCAUGCCCAUACUGACGCUCAAACUGUCUCUUCGGCCUAUAUGUGGCCCAACGACACAUAGUGGCUCUACUCAAAAAAUGACACAUAGUGGCUCUACUCGAGAAAACGACACAUGGUGGCUGCAUAUAGGAUAUGAAGUGCAGUGAAGGGACUGCUUACUUAUAUGCAGUACACGGGGGUAGGUGGUGGCAGCUGGCACCCAGGUCCCACUCAGCCGAUCACCAACUCUGCAUGAGACCGGUGAACUUAGUUGUUAUGUGGUGGGUGUUCUUGGGCAUUUUUCAACCAUGUAAUAGUCACAUGUCCUGUAUUUCCUCAGCAUAAAACAAAAAUUGCAUUAUGUUUUUACCGUCCUUCGAAAUAAGUCAAAUGUUCUUUGUGACAAUGGUUCCAGAUGUGCAGGAGGCAUAGUCGGCUCUGUGUUCACGGGCACACUAUGUUACACUGUGAAAAUUGCCCUAGAAUUCUUUGGUGUUUGAUUUUCAUCAAAAAUCAUUUUCUGGGGUGAGUUCAAAGUUUUCCGUUUGCCUUCUACAUCAGAACAAGAACCUGAAUCUAACAAAUUGACAGAAUAGGGGAAAAAACGAAGAAUCCUGGCUUUUGAAGCAGGAAUGUUGGCAGCAAUGGUGAAAAAAAUCUUUCUAUUGGUGUCAUACUGUUCCAAUUCUUCUUUAGGUGGAGGACACGUCAAUACCACAGGAAAUCUAGAUGUAUCAAUCUGAAUCUGAUACUUGUGCAACAGAGCUUUCCAACCUCACUGAUUAAACUGUGAGGUCUGAGACUAUGUACACAAUUUGUUUCUUGGAGCAACAGUUAUACUUGAUUCUUUAAUGUAGUCAAGGCAGCCUGAUCAGAACAGUGGGUAUACCAUCACGAGGAUUACUUGGUUCUAUGAUACAACUGUUGCAGGGGCUUUGCAAUGAUAUAUUUUCAUCAGAAAAGGCUUUGGGUGCAGAUAGUAUCUAUCUUGAAGGUGACUCGACCAUGGUGACUGACUGGAUUCAGGGCCAGCACAGCCAUGUCGAUCGACACCCGCUGCUUCGGAAUAUCUGCAGGCUCCUGAAAGAGUUUGGCUUCUUCCGGGCCACUUAUGUUUAUCGGGAGGUUAACAAUGCUGCUGACUGGGCUGCCUGCUGUGCUGCACACCGUUCAGAAGAGUUUCUCUAGGAGAAUUUUGAGUUCGUUCUUUUCUCUUUCUGUCAACUAUUUUUUUCUGAUCUUAGUGUACUCAUAUGCAUUUGGUGUGAGUCGCCGUUGAAUCAAAAAAAAAAAGAAAAAAGGAAAAGGCUUUGCAAUGACAUGCCGUAUUACCCUGUUGCAGAUGAUGUGAUUUUUUCAGUCAAGUGCCACUUUUUUUUUUUUAAUUUUGAGUAUUGAAGCUUCUGCAACCAUAGUCGUAAACCCUUAAGUCUUGUCACCAAGUUUUGAGGGCAUUCUGUGAGCCUUGCCUGGAAUCAUAUCGGAAAUCUCGUUUUAAAA